UUUGAUUUGAUUGUUCAUUCUUUCACAAUUUUAAUUUUAUUAUCUAAUUUUUCAAUAUAUUUAAUUCAACUUCAAACAUUAAAUACGUUAUUUAUUCUUGCGAAUUUAAUUAGUAUAAUUAAAGUCAUUUUCAUAACUAUAAAUUUAUCCAACAGUUUAUUUAAAUUUAAAAGUCCAAGUGUUGUCGACCGAUUUAAAUCAAAUAAAUUAUAAGUUUGAAUAGUAAACUUAAAAAUAUGAAAGAUUGGAUACUAAUUCAAAAUAAUCUAUAGUUCAGAUAAAUUUUUUACAUAUUUAUUUUUAUUUAUUCACUUAAAUAGUAUGUAUA
RNAcentral lists this long non-coding RNA (328 nucleotides) under Ananas comosus (pineapple). Its description in RNAcentral is "long non-coding RNA (ACOM_LNC019073)". Lineage: Eukaryota; Viridiplantae; Streptophyta; Magnoliopsida; Poales; Bromeliaceae. The record is from RNAcentral.